This 253-nucleotide ribosomal RNA is filed under the name uncultured bacterium. Its description in RNAcentral is "partial 16S ribosomal RNA". It matches the Rfam family "Bacterial small subunit ribosomal RNA", at positions 524 to 776 of the family's 1533-position model. The record is from RNAcentral.
UACGAAGGGGGCUAGCGUUGCUCGGAAUUACUGGGCGUAAAGCGCACGUAGGCGGCUUUCUAAGUCGGGGGUGAAAUCCUGGAGCUCAACUCCAGAACUGCCUUCGAUACUGGAAAGCUCGAGUCCGGGAGAGGUGAGUGGAACUGCGAGUGUAGAGGUGAAAUUCGUAGAUAUUCGCAAGAACACCAGUGGCGAAGGUGGCUCACUGGCCCGGUACUGACGCUGAGGUGCGAAAGCGUGGGGAGCAAACAGG